GGUCGGUUAGCUCAGUUGGUUAGAGCGUGGUACUAAUAUUUCAUCAAGAAAUGUUGUGUAAAUGCCAAGGCCGGGAGUUCAAGCCUCCCACUGAUCA
Molecule: transfer RNA, 97 nt
Organism: Colletotrichum fioriniae PJ7
Lineage: Eukaryota; Fungi; Ascomycota; Sordariomycetes; Glomerellales; Glomerellaceae
Rfam family: tRNA
About the family: Transfer RNA (tRNA) molecules are approximately 80 nucleotides in length. Their secondary structure includes four short double-helical elements and three loops (D, anti-codon, and T loops).
Source: Rfam